This 449-nucleotide ribosomal RNA is filed under the name uncultured bacterium. Its description in RNAcentral is "partial 16S ribosomal RNA". It matches the Rfam family "Bacterial small subunit ribosomal RNA", at positions 29 to 523 of the family's 1533-position model. The record is from RNAcentral.
AACGAACGCUGGCGGCAUGCCUAACACAUGCAAGUCGAACGAGAUCUUCGGGUCUAGUGGCGCACGGGUGCGUAACGCGUGGGAAUCUGCCCUUUGGUUCGGAAUAACAGUUGGAAACGACUGCUAAUACCGGAUGAUGACGAAAGUCCAAAGAUUUAUCGCCAGAGGAUGAGCCCGCGUAGGAUUAGCUAGUUGGUGUGGUAAAGGCGCACCAAGGCGACGAUCCUUAGCUGGUCUGAGAGGAUGAUCAGCCACACUGGGACUGAGACAAUGCCCAGACUCCUACUGGGGGCAGCAGUGGGGAAUAUUGGACAAUGGGCGAAAGCCUGAUCCAGCAAUGCCACGUGAGUGAUGAAGGCCUUAGGGUUGUAAAGCUCUUUUACCCGGGUUGAUAAUGACAGUACCGGGAGAAUAAGCUCCGGCUAACUCCGUGCCAGCCGCCGCCGUAA